GUGGCCACAAUCUAGAAGCACUCUUAUCUAGAACACAGUAUCCCUGCCAAUCUGACUGCUUGGACUGCUCCUCUCCCAUUUAUAAGCACUUACUAUACCUGUUGCAGCUCAGUCAAUCACUUACAUGGAAAAGUAACAGAAAAGUUGACAUGACUACCCCAGGAUGGGCUUUUCAUAGGAGAUAUAAGUGAGUAGGUGUCUGACUUCCACUAAAUUUCAGUGAGAUUUGGGUGCUUAGCUCCCAUAGACUCCUUCAAAAAUCCCUGCCUGAAGAUUCAGAAUCUUGCCCCUGCUCCCCAGUGGCUGGCCACAGGCCUUGCAUUUCCCCCCGCAGAAACUGCAGUGGGAGCAAUUGCACCCCUAGUGAAAUGACAUUAAUAAGAACACUUAAGUGAAUUUUCAAGGAAUUGAAGGCAUUUCCAGAAGAAAUUCUAGUUCUUGCCUGUAGGCUAGCUUCUCUGCUAGUAUACAUCAGCAUUUACUAGAGCAGUGGCAGACUGAAAAUACUGAAGGCAAUUUGUAUUGUGGAACCCUUCAAAGACUCUGCCAUCUCUUCUUUCCCGGAGGAGAGAGAGAACUCUGGAUCCUGCUGGAGCACCGACUGAGAAUGAUGGGCUGCGCUGGCGUUAUCAUCAAUACAACCUAUCCUGCUCACCUACCACCAUACAAAUCAGUCAAAUAAAAACAACAUGACUCAA
Long non-coding RNA from Gavialis gangeticus (Gharial), 698 nucleotides. RefSeq lists it as uncharacterized. NCBI's taxonomy places the organism in Eukaryota, Metazoa, Chordata, Crocodylia, Gavialidae. The record is from RefSeq and is a predicted model, not a curated record. The transcript is spliced from 2 exons.